CGUGCAGGUGGCCUCGUAAGUUGGACGUUAAAUUUCCCGGCUUAACCGGGAAGGGCCGUUCAAUACUGCGGGGCUUGAGGGCAGAAGAGGGGGGUGGAAUUGCUGGUGUAGUGGUGAAAUGCGUAGAUAUCAGCAGGAACACCUGUGGCGAAAGCGGCCCCCUGGUCUGCUCCUGACACUCAGACGCGAAAGCUAGGGGAGUGAACGGGAUUAGAAACCCCGGUAAUCCUAGCUGUAAACGAUGGAUGCUAGGUGUGGGUGGUAUUGACCCCAUCCGUGCCGAAGCCAACGCGUUAAGCAUCCCGCCUGGGGACUACGGCCGCAAGGUUAAA
This 332-nucleotide ribosomal RNA is filed under the name uncultured bacterium. Its description in RNAcentral is "bacterial SSU rRNA". It matches the Rfam family "Bacterial small subunit ribosomal RNA", at positions 568 to 898 of the family's 1533-position model. The record is from RNAcentral.